Molecule: ribosomal RNA, 419 nt
Filed under: Phoenicolacerta kulzeri (common Eurasian lizard)
Lineage: Eukaryota; Metazoa; Chordata; Lepidosauria; Squamata; Lacertidae
Description: partial 16S ribosomal RNA
Rfam family: Archaeal large subunit ribosomal RNA
Source: RNAcentral
GGUUCCGCCUGCCCAGUGACUCUAUAAAUGGCCGCGGUAUCCUAACCGUGCAAAGGUAGCAUAAUCACUUGUCCUUUAAAUAAGGACUAGCAUGAACGGCUAAAUGAGGACUUAACUGUCUCUUACAGCUUGCCAAUGAAACUGAUUUUCCAGUACAAAAGCUGGAAUAAACACAUAAGACGAGAAGACCCUGUGGAGCUCCAAAUCAAACCCACCAACCAUGGGUCUAAAGAUUUUUAGUUGGGGCGACUUCGGAGCAUAAAAACGCCUCCAAACAUGUAUUAUUUAAUUUUAUUAAGACUAACACACCAAAACAACAACAUAAGACCCAGCAACAUCUUGAUGUUAUCUGACAAAUGAGCCAAGUUACCCCAGGGAUAACAGCGCCAUCCCCUUCUAGAGUCCCUAUUGACAGGGGG